UACAGAGGUCCCAAGCGUUGUUCGGAUUCAUUGGGCGUAAAGGGUGUGUAGGCGGGUCUAUAAGUCAGUGGUGAAAUCUCCGGGCUCAACCCGGAAACUGCCAUUGAUACUAUAGGUCUUGAAUAUUGUGGAGGUGGGCGGAAUGUGUCAUGUAGCGGUGAAAUGCUUAGAGAUGACACAGAACACCGAUUGCGAAGGCAGCCCACUACGCAACUAUUGACGCUGAGGCACGAAAGCGUGGGGAUCAAACAGG
Molecule: ribosomal RNA, 253 nt
Filed under: uncultured bacterium
Lineage: Bacteria
Description: partial 16S ribosomal RNA
Rfam family: Bacterial small subunit ribosomal RNA
Source: RNAcentral